Molecule: ribosomal RNA, 1442 nt
Filed under: uncultured Planctomycetota bacterium
Lineage: Bacteria; Pseudomonadati; Planctomycetota
Description: bacterial SSU rRNA
Rfam family: Bacterial small subunit ribosomal RNA
Source: RNAcentral
AAUGAACGUUGGCGGCAUGGAUUAGGCAUGCAAGUCGUACGGUGGUAGCAAUACCAUAGUGGCGAAAGGGAUAGGAAUACAUAGAUUAUCUGCCCAAAGGACGUGGAUAGCGGCGGGAAACUGCCGGUAAUACACGAUAAUUUCUCCGGAACAAAGGUGUGAUUCCGCCUUUGGAUGAGUCUAUGUCCUAUUAGCUAGUUGGCGGUGUAAUGGACCACCAAGGCUAUGAUGGGUACGAGGCGUGAGAGCGUGUCCUCGAUCACUGGAACUGAGACACUGUCCAGACACCUACGGGUGGCUGCAGUCGAGAAUCUUCGGCAAUGGGCGAAAGCCUGACCGAGCGAUGCCGCGUGUGUGAUGAAGGUCUUCGGAUUGUAAAGCACUGUAAGUUGGGAGGAAAUGUAUGAGGGUUCUCCCUCAUAUUUGACCUAUCUUCAAAGUAAGGACGGGCUAAGUUCGUGCCAGCAGCCGCGGUAAGACGAACUGUCCAAACGUUAUUCGGAAUCACUGGGCUUAAAGGGUGCGUAGGCUGUCUGGUAAGUGGGGUGUGAAAUCCCUCAGCUCAACUGAGGAAUUGCGCUCCAAACUGUCAGACUCGAGGAAUGUAGGGGUAAGCGGAACUUGCGGUGGAGCGGUGAAAUGCUUUGAUAUUGCAAGGAACACCAAUGGCGUAGGCAGCUUACUGGGCAUUUUCUGACGCUGAGGCACGAAAGCCAGGGUAGCGAACGGAAUUAGAUACUCCGGUAGUCCUGGCUGUAAACGCUGAGCACUUGGUCGAAGGACACUCCAUAGUCUUUUGGCCGUAGAGAAAUUGGUAAAGUGCUCCCGCCUGGGGAGUAUGGUCGCAAGGCUGAAAACUCAAAGGAAAUUGACGGGGGCCCGCACAAGCGGUGGAGCAUGUGGUUUAAUUCGAUGCAACGCGAAGAACCUUACCUGGGCUUGACAUCCGGGGGACUCUCCCGAAAAGGAGAGGUGCUCUUCGGAGAACCCCGAGACAGGUGCUGCAUGGCUGUCGUCAGCUCGUGUCGUGAGAUGUUGGGUUAAGUCCCGCAACGAGCGCAACCCCUAUUCACAGUUGCCAGCAGGUAAAGCUGGGCACUCUGUGGAGACUGCCCGGGUCAACCGGGAGGAAGGUGGGGACGACGUCAAGUCAUCAUGGCCCUUACGCCCAGGGCUACACACGUACUACAAUGGCGCGCACAAAGGGCAGCAAGACCGCGAGGUGGAGCCAAUCCCAAAAAACGCGUCUCAGUCCGGAUUGCAGUCUGCAACUCGACUGCAUGAAGUCGGAAUCGCUAGUAAUUCUGGAUCAGCAUGCCAGGGUGAAUGCGUUCCCGGGCCUUGUACACACCGCCCGUCACACCACGAAAGUCGGUUUUACCCGAAGUCGGCGAGCUAACUGGCAACAGAGGCAGCCGCCUACGGUAGGGCCGAUGAUUGGG